AGAUUGAACGCUGGCGGCAGGCCUAACACAUGCAAGUCGAGCGGCAGCACGGGUACUUGUACCUGGUGGCGAGCGGCGGACGGGUGAGUAAUGCCUAGGAAUCUGCCUGGUAGUGGGGGAUAACGCUCGGAAACGGACGCUAAUACCGCAUACGUCCUACGGGAGAAAGCAGGGGACCUUCGGGCCUUGCGCUAUCAGAUGAGCCUAGGUCGGAUUAGCUAGUUGGUGAGGUAAUGGCUCACCAAGGCGACGAUCCGUAACUGGUCUGAGAGGAUGAUCAGUCACACUGGAACUGAGACACGGUCCAGACUCCUACGGGAGCAGCAGUGGGG
RNAcentral lists this ribosomal RNA (332 nucleotides) under uncultured soil bacterium. RNAcentral describes it as "bacterial SSU rRNA". It matches the Rfam family "Bacterial small subunit ribosomal RNA", at positions 26 to 359 of the family's 1533-position model. The record is from RNAcentral.